Molecule: long non-coding RNA, 406 nt
Filed under: Mytilus galloprovincialis (Mediterranean mussel)
Lineage: Eukaryota; Metazoa; Mollusca; Bivalvia; Mytilida; Mytilidae
Source: RNAcentral
UUGUACAUUUUUAUAAUCCUAAUAAAAUUGAAUUUAUGAUGUGGUUUGUCCAGACAGGUAAACAUGUAUUCUCACUGUUAUACACAUCACUACACUACUGCACAUCGGCUUCACCUAUAGUAGGUUUGACAUGUUAAUUUUACACAAAUAACACCAAAGGUCAUAUUGCUAUUGGAUUUUACAUUAUCAAUGUAAGUUUCGUUUUGUUAUAGAUAUAAUAGUUUACUAUGUAGAUAUUUUUUUUGAUUAAACAGAGACUAAUAUAUAAAUAUGAUACUGUAAACCAUCCUCAGUCAGUACACAUUAACUUCCUUUCUUCAGUUCUUUUUAUAUAUAAUCACAAAAGUUUCUAAUGAUGUUUAUUAGGAUAUUUUUAGAUAUAUUUUUUAAAUGUUUGAUAUGGGUG